UUGUAAUUUGCAGAGGGCGCUUUGGUGUUGGCAGCGGUCCAAGUUCUUUGGAACAGGACGUCACAGAGGGUGAGAAUCCCGUACGUGGUCGCUAGCCCUCACCGUGUAAAGCCCCUUCGACGAGUCGAGUUGUUUGGGAAUGCAGCUCUAAAUGGGAGGUAAAUUUCUUCUAAAGCUAAAUACUGGCCAGAGACCGAUAGCGCACAAGUAGAGUGAUCGAAAGAUGAAAAGCACUUUGGAAAGAGAGUCAAAUAGCACGUGAAAUUGUUGAAAGGGAAGCGCUUGCAGCCAGACUUGCCUGUAGUUGCUUAUCCGGACUUUUGUCCGGUGCACUCUUCUGCGGGCAGGCCAGCAUCAGUUUGGGCGGUUGGAUAAAGGUCUCUGUCAUGUACCUCCUUUCGGGGAGGCCUUAUAGGGGAGACGACAUGCAACCAGCCUGGACUGAGGUCCGCGCAUCUGCUAGGAUGCUGGCGUAAUGGCUGUAAGCGGCCCGUCUUGAAACACGGACCAAGGAGUCUAACAUCUAUGCGAGUGUUUGGGUGUCAAGCCCAGACGCGUAAUGAAAGUGAACGGAGGUGGGAACCCUUUGGGUGCACCAUCGACCGAUCCUGAUGUCUUCGGAUGGAUUUGAGUAAGAGCAUGGCUGUUGGGACCCGAAAGAUGGUGAACUAUGCUUGAAUAGGGUGAAGCCAGAGGAAACUCUGGUG
This 707-nucleotide ribosomal RNA is filed under the name soil fungal sp. DM2-385. Its description in RNAcentral is "eukaryotic LSU rRNA". It matches the Rfam family "Eukaryotic large subunit ribosomal RNA", at positions 143 to 869 of the family's 3401-position model. The record is from RNAcentral. Lineage: Eukaryota; Fungi.